UGGGAGGGGCGACGUAAAAGGAGAAUUUAGAAUACUCUUGCUGGAGAGAGACUCAGAGCGCCUCCGAGGGCGCACUCACACUCCAUCAAUUUCAGUGGAUGCGGUGGAAUCACAGGAGGGUCUCUAAGUUUCUUUGCCACACAGCUGGGCUUCAGCUAUCGAUAGGUUAUCAGGGAAACAGGAGAAACUUGAUAAACUGCAAGUUGCUUCUGGUGUGAGAGAACUGGCUGUCUGCAAGGAUGUUGAUGUUUUACUAUCCUUGUGGGAGGCAUCUCUCAUGUCCCCAUAUGGAGCUGGAGCUGACAGAGGGAGCUUGUCUCCGCUCUCCCCAGGUUGGAUUCAAGCUGGCAACCUUCAGAUUGUUACACAUACAAGGGUGAAUGUAAACAGCCAUUCAGCAUCUCAAAAGCUCUCACAAGAAUGGAAAACAGGAUGUUGGUGGACAGCAAAAGCAAUUUAAAGGUGGGCUUAAAACUAACCUAAAAUGUGGGAUAAACAGAAUUGGAAGUCCUGCACUUGAGCGUUGUAACUGUAGGUCAGCUGUUACCAACAGUGCUGUGGAUUCUGAAGAAGUACAAAUAGAAAGCAAAAGGGAGAAAUGUGCCAAGAAGAAGGCGCAUCAAAUCCUUGUCAUGACCACCUUCCACCUGGAAACCUAUGUCCUCACUACAAAGACUAUGUGGAUCCAGAAGAGGUCUCUACAGCCACCAACAAUAUUCUAUCCAUGGAAGACAAUCCUACUCAGCUAUGAGUGAUCACCUGUGAUUAUGAUAUACAGCAAUUGACCCAUUGUUGUUGAUUUUUCAAUGUAUGAAUGAGUUCCAACACUAGGCAAAGGAAAGUAAGAAGAUUCAUUAUUUUUGCAGCAUGGGCUUGCUGAAUGGCAAUAUACUAGUCAAAUUGUGUGAAUGGUUGCCACUACAGUGGGCCUUCUGGAUCCAUGAUUUCCAGAGACAGUGAAUCAUUGUGCCCCAUAUUAAUGAAGGUGACAUAAAUAUGAUAUGCUAAAGUGUGCACAUUCACAAUGCUAUUAUUUAAUAAUAUGGGGUUGUGAUAUCCUUAUUUUUAUUUGUAUGUGUAGUAGGUCCCUGAACCAAACCCCAUGGAUACAGAAGGCCCACAGUGUAUGUUGUGUAUCCCAAUUUGUUAGCUAUCAAAGAUUAGUCAAAAUCAAUUGAUAAUGGGAUCACCAAUUGGCCAUCUUAGGUCAAAUCUCUCUCCUAUGUUGAUAAACCCACACUCCAGGAUGAAAGUGAGAUAUGAUAGGGAUUGUGUAUGUGCAAGUCCUUUGAGGAGACAAAAGUUUGAGGGGUUGUUUUUAAUGAUUAUAUAUUAAAAUACUGUACUGCUUAUCUGCCAAAAAUUGUACUUUGUCUGUUAGUUUCUACCUGUAUCCAGCAUAAACAUGUGCAGAUUAGAAUACAUUUCACCCUCCAUAUUCAGGGAUUCUGUACUCACAAAUUCAUAGCUUGGAUUUUUUCAAAGGAAGGGACAUCUUUGAGUACUCCUUGCCUAAGAAAACCCAGUGAAAAACACAGAGUCACCAUAAAUAGACAUUCUGAAUGUAGGCACACACACAAUCUCUCAGAUAUUCUAGCCCCAAGCCAUUCAGACCCUACUUUAUUUACUCAAAAUUAAAUAUUGCCUUUUAUUUUCUCUUCAGAGCAGAUUCAGGUUGUUUUGCACUGAAAUAAUACCUGAAGGGUUUAUAUGUUUUCCUAGUGAACAUGUUAUUUUUGUUUCUCAAAAUAUUUAAAUUGAAUUCUUCAUGUUUCGACAGUGUCUGGUUGAUGUCUCCAAACCGUACAUGCCACAAAUACUGUCUACAAAAUUAUUCUUGUGUUUGAGCUGAUUAUUUUUAAAUCUGCAAGCUGAUGGCAGCUGGCACUAGAGCUCAAAACACCCUUUCAAAAUGGCGGAAGUGUUUGACUGCUGUCUAGCUUUUACAUACUCUAAAAAUGGUCUGCAAGUAAAAAUAUUUCAAAUGUUGAAAAUGAUGGGAUAAGGGAUGCGACGUUGCCCAGAGAAAAUGGGUUAUUUAUAUGAUAAUGUUGCAUUAUUAACAUUGAUGUUGUUAAGCGUGUUGAUAGAUAUAUUUCAGUAAACCCUAUAAUUAUUUUUCAAGUUUACUUAAAAGAAAAAAUAUGAAAAUACAAUGUGGGAUUUAUUUCUAGUGUAUUAAUUAUGGCUGUGCUAUCUUCUGAGGAAAAGGGAAAUGUGGUUCACCCACGUCUUUAGACUGAAACAGGAUUUAGAAUAUAGUGGCUUUGGCAGAACUGACUGAAGCCUCAAUCCUAGGGAUAUUUGCAUGAAAUUAAGACUCAUUUAAAUAAAGAGGGAUAACUCAAGUAAAAAUAUUUACCACUAAGCUGUAAUUUUGUGAAAAUGAGAGAAGGCAAGCUAGCAUUCGACACAUUUACAGAGAACUAGGUAUAAUGGAAUACUACGUUUAUUAUUUAAAACUAAUUGUGCUGUUUUUUUCUAUCUGAUUUUGAUUAUUUACUCUGCUCUAUGGGGCCUUGAUGUGUGUUACUGUCUUACAAUCUCCUGGCUAAUUGAAAUCCCUAUAAUUAAAAGCAGUCCUAUGUUAAAAACAAGGAUUUGAAAUAUUAUGGGGGAACAUAACAAAAUAUUUAAUUUCAGUACUGUGUUGGCAAGCAUCUUACCUCUAAUAAGCCCAACGCAAAUGUCAUCAAUAGGAUGGGUGAAUGUAUACAUAUAUUGCUAUAGCAUGAACAGGCCAUUAUUCCCUGCCUCUUUAGGACAGCAUCUGCAACUAUGUGACAGAGCACUGAAAGGAUAUUUAGAGAUACUUCUUGAUGUUUUCCAUUAUGGUUGUUCAAACCCAAUGACCUACUUCAUACUACUUCAUGAUUUUGUCAAGAGAAAAAGCACAAGCCUUGACAAUGUCCAUAUUUCUUAAAUGAGGCUUCUCCCUGCCUGCUCUCCAUAAAGCAUGUAGUCAGAAGUGUUCUUCCUUAUGAGAUCUCCUAAUUUUCCUAAUACCAUGUAAACAUAUAGAAGCAUUUAUAGGCGUUUGACAUCAGUGUGAAACAAAGGACUUUUGCCAAUCUGGGUGCUGAUUGGUCCAACCUAGAGCUGGCUAGGAUCCGUGCACUGGUUGGAUGAGAUGUGCCAUCUGCUGCCUGUUACUGAUUGGCGUUCUGAUCUGGCAGGAAUUUUAAUAAACUGUCAUUGCUCAAAUUGAAGGGUUGUGGCUGUUUCUUGGUCUGCCCUUGGUAGGUGCAGGAAGAAAGGAAUGCUAGUAGGUUUGAGUUAAACGGUGCUAAUAACCUGGAGUAAGACAAUGGGUCUUGGCUACCUAAACAAUGGGUGGCAAGGAUGUUGGCAUGGUCUGAAUGGGUUCUCAGGAAUUAGGUCAGGUUGAAUGUUGGGUAACUUUCAUGAACUUUCAGUCCAGAACUAUUAAGUAUGCAGGGCUUUUGUGAAGGUAUAUCUCCUGCUGGAAUAAUGAUGAAAUUUACUCUGAUGUGUGUAUACAUGCUUAGUAUAAUGUGGGGGUUUCAAGCUGGAGGUUGCUUGGAACUGGAUUUUUUGGGGAAAGAUCACACAAGGGCUCAAUCUCUCAAUGCUUUUGGAAACAAGGUUAUUGGGGUUUGUUUUGGGGUCCUGGUAUUUCAGUAACAAAACUGUAUUCAUUCUACUGUGUAGAUACUCCCUCGGUUUUGGUCAAGUCUUGACGCUGAUAUUGCAGUGCCAUUUCCAUUCUUGCUGAGAACCGAGUUUCUUGUUGUUUUGGUGUUUGUCUUUUUAAUCAUGACAUGCAUUCUGAUCUCUUAAAACCUGCAAAACCAAAAUAUUCAGAACAGUCCUAUGCAUACUUACCUUGGAACCCAAAAUAAACUUUAGUGGUUAUACUAGGAAUAAUUUCUGACUAAAAAUGCAAAAGCAAACCACACCAGUUAGCAUAGACACCCGUGGAUUGCAUACAUUUCCUUGAUUCUUCCUGGCUUAGUUUUUGUUGAGUGAACAGGAGGUGGGCUUGCAUAAUUAAUCAUGCACAAGCUCCAUGUGUGACUUGAUUAGCUGAUGCUCAAGAGAGGUUAAAGUGGUAUCUUUAGGAUGAACCUCAUCCUGGUACUGCUGGGCUGCCUUCCCAGUGCAAACAUGCAUGAGAGCUUAACUGGCAACUUUUUAGUCAAACUUCCUGUGUCAGAAAGGCAAAACUCCUAAAGAACAGAUUGAUGAUUUGAUACUAUUUGUGUUCCUUUGUGUGCCACAUUUCAGUAUAAAUAUUCCAGAGCACUUCAUAACAAUGAAAGCAUCUAAAAUAAACAAUUAAGAGUGUUUUUAAAUGGCCAGUAAUAAAACAGGAGCAGCAAAUAAUAUUAUCGCUCAGGAAUGAAAAGCUAAUGCCCCCCAACAACAAUAAUUUUGUUUUGGAACAAAAAGAUAAACAGAGGAGGCACCAGAUGAGUUCUCUCUGAGCACCACCACUAAAAACCCACCUCACUUGCCACUGAGGCACCCAUCCUCCCUAGAAGAGGGUCACUACUGCUGCACAGAGUGGUGCCAAGUACACCAGUCUCAAGUAAUGCAAAGCUGUCACAGCAAUUUUGAAUUGUGCUUGGAAAUAAACUAGUAUCAAGAGGAGAUGUCAAUGGAACAAAAAGGCCCAUAUUAGCAGUUAAGGAGGAUGUAUAUAAGUGUAUGGCUCUAUCUCUGGGUAUGUGUAUGUGAAAGAGAGAAAUGUGUGGACAGCUGCUAUCAAUAAAGGAAGCUUCUGAAAACAGACUGUUCUCUCUACAUGUGGAGGUUGAUUUCAAUAUGAUUCUAUUUCCCCAGCAAAUGGCCCUUCUCUACUCUUUCACAAAAGUGAAAACUCUGUGGAAUGGGGCAGGAUACAAAUGUCUGUGUGUGUGUGUGUGUGUGUGUGUGUGUGUGUGUGUGUGUGUGUGUGUGUGUGUGUGCACGUGUGUGAGCAAGAGAGAAGUCCAAGAAAAGAAGCUAAUUCAAUUUCUGGAAAAUUAAGAUUAAAAAAAUGACAGUGUGUCAAAGUAUAAUAGACUUGGUUGUCACUUUUUUUCUUUUUUUUUUUUUUUUGCUUUGGUCAUUUUAACAUCAGAUUGAGGUAUUAAAAUUAAGAAAAUGAAGUUUUUCAUAGCUUGGAGAUGAGAUGAUGGGGGAAAUGAAUAUAAUUUAAUUUUGUUUAUCACUCUACUGUUGAAAUUUAUUAACAAUAUUGGCAAUAUUAUCAGCACAUAAAAAUAUGGGAAUCAGUGUGGAUAUUGAAAAUCACAAUUAUCCCUUGGUGAAUGUGUAAAAACUGUUCCUGUUAACUCAAGGCUGAAUAUGUUCUCUGACCAAAUACUUCUAGGGACUCAAUUCAGACACCCAGCUUAAAGCCCUAGGCAGCAUGACUUCAAUUCUUUCUCCUCUAAGAGUGGUUUUUAUCAGACCUUUGUUGCCUCAAACUCAAUUUUCUGGACUCACUUGUGUAUGGCUUCCCCUGAUCUUAAUUAAGAAAAGAUUAAGACACCCAUCAUCCUUGGAGUAUAGGACUGGAAGCCCUGAAACACCCUGCCCAGGUUUCUGUGAAUCCUAGAAUACUAAUGCAGAGAGAGUAUUUUCUGUCUUGGUUUCUUUCUAGCGCUGUAAUACAAUGAAUUAAUCUUCCUGCUUGGAAUAGGUAUUCUCUCAACAGAUGGCAGUAAAAGACUAUUGUUAAAGAUUCACGGUUCACGUGGCUCAGCAGGGUGGCAAUCAUUUAGCAAAACAUCCAGCUUUUUAAUGGGAACAUCUUUCUACUCAGCCUACCCCCUCUCUCAAAUUGCUACACUGUAUUGUGAGAAAUAAAUUGAUUUUGCAGUUUUAUUUUCAGAGUGCCACAGGCAGGGUUUAACUUUGCGUUAAAAAAAAACCCAAAGAUGACAAAGUGUCCUUGUUCCUGAGGCAAAAGGAACUGUAAACUUGGGAAUCUGCAUGUGGGCAUAAGAAGGGUCAGUCUCAUUUGGCUUGUCCAUUAGCUCCAGGUGUGAACUGAAGUUCUGGUUUGGAGAGGACAGGUAUCCUCCAGAGAGCAAAUACAAGUCACCAGGUUACAAAUAUGUAUGUGACAAGAAUUCAGAGCAGUCAGAGAGAGCCAUCCUUAUUAUUAUGCAGUAGGAAGCAGUCUUUCCUCUUUGAUUUCUGAUGUUGUGAAAGGGUAGCACAUUGUUCAUUCUUUAUAUGUUACUGUAGCUGUUGUUACCCCUCUGUUAUACAGUCAGCCUUGUCUUAACUGUGUAGAGUUGUCGACAGAGCUCAUCUGAAUCCACACUAAGAAUAGAGGGAUUCACUUUUAUCAACAUGGCCACCAAGAUUGUUCAUCCAUUUUAAACAACACCAAGAACUACAGGUACUCAAUAACGUUGACAUUUGUUGCAAAAGUAAACAUGGGAGUGAGAACUAUGAGUGACAUUUUGAACUCCUUAGAUAGAGGAUGGAAUAAAUAUAACAAAAAGUAAACAAUAUACUAUGAAUUUUGGAAAAUAAAAUGCUGAAAUUGCACAAAGUUAGAGAGAGUAAAUGAUAAUUGUGAUGAUGAGGAUGAUGGGGAACAAUUAGGUUUUCUUUUCAGUUUUUCCUCAUUUGAGGAAUAAAUGCACUUUUCCCUUUGAAUUUCUUUUUUCAGUCUUCAUUUUGUGAGCUUUUUGAGAGAUGACUAAGCAAACUAGUGACAGAUUUCAUUUUAUAUACAAAGCAUUAUCAAUUUGUGCAUAUGUACAUGUGAGACCUGGGUUGGAAGCACACAGAGACAUAGCAUUUAGGGUUCCAGCAAAGGAAUUCUAGAUGUUAAUCUUUCUGGGAAAUUUGGUAGCUCUGAAAUUUUACAUGGAACUGUAAAAUUGUGUGGACUGGAAUUGCGUUGGAGGUGACAAGAGUCAUAGAAUCAUAGAGUUGAAAGAGACCACAAUGGCCAUUUAGUCCAACCUAACACCACACUCAAUCAAAGCUCUCCUGACAGAAAAUAAUAAUAAUAAUAAUAAUAAUAAUAAUAAUAAUAAUAAUAAUAAUAAUAAUAAUAAUAAUAAAAUUAUUUCUUGCCCACCUUUCCUCAUGGCUCGAGGCAGAUUAUAACAUUGUAAAAAACAUAUUCACCUAAAUACUUUAUUUAAAAUAAAUAUAUUAAAUCAUAUUUCCACAAGGUACAUAUUAAAAUAUACAAAAAAGACAUUAAACUUAAAAUUCAAGUUUAAAAUUUGUCAUUAAAACUGUUUGGGUAGGCCUGCCAGAAGAGAUAGGUCUUCACUUGUGUCUUAAAUUGCAACAGCUGAUCUAGCUGUCAGAGUUCUUCCGACAGGUUGUUUCACAGUCUUGGGGCAGAAGAUGAAAAGGUCCUCUGGGUGGUGGUUGCCAGUCAAGUUCUGGCUGGUUGGAACAGAUCCCCCCAGAAGACCAAAGUUUGUGGGGCUGAUUGUAUGGAAGAAGAUGAUCCUUUAGGUAACCUGGACCCAAACCAUGUAGGGCUUUAAAGGGCAAAAUCAACACUUUGUACUUUGCCCAGAAACUAAUCGGCAACCAGUGUUUUAGGAUAGGUGUGAUAUUUUCAUUCUUGGAUGUUCCCGUGACCAAUCUGGCUGCUGUAUUUUGAACCAACUGGAGUUUCCGAACUUGGUACAAAUGUAAAGUGCAUUGCAGAAGUCCAGCUUUGAGGUUACCACUACCAGUGCAUGCACUACCAUCUUAAAGUUCUCCAAAUCUAGGAAGGAGUGCAGCUGGUGUAUCAACCGAAGCUGAUAGUGAGCACUCCUGACUGUUGCAUCUACUUGGGUUGGCAUUUGGAGAGACGGAUCCAGGAGCACUCCCAAGCUGCAAACACAGUCUUUUGUGUAUGUGUGUGUGUGUGUGUGGGGGGGGGGGUGUAACCCCAUCCAGAACUAGUUGACACACCUUCAUCCUCAGAUCAUGGAUUUCUUCACAACUGAAAACAUAUUUGAGAUGUAAUGCUACUCUUUCUCCUUUACUGUGUGUUCUAUUUAUCACAAAAAGGUUGUAUCCCUUUAUUACUACAUUCCAAAGCAAAUGUAACAUAAUAGGAAUCACCCACCAUGAUCCAGUGAUGCCUAUUUGUCAGGCUCACUUCAAAGGACCAGUCUGAACGCAGAUCAAAGAUAGCUGCUCUCAAAUCCAAUCUUUAUUGAAGAAUACAUGACUUUGGAAAAAGUCGAGAAUGACCUAAUGUUUACAUACAAUCAUUUUUAUCACCUCUGAUGCAACGUAACACCACACGCAAAUAUCAUCAUCAAACCCCACCCCCUGUAUCACAUUUCUACCAUUCCCACACUCUAUACCAAUUAUAAUUGUUUAUACUUUCAACCCCGAGUUCCCAUGCUCUUCUAUCUUCUUCUGCCAGGUGCUUCCAGGAUUAUUUAUGUUAUGACUCCAAGUCCAGGGCUUGGAAAUUCAGCCCUGGGACUUGGUCCCAUGACACCUAUUAUAUUGCAUUUGUUUUGCUGCAUUAAUAAUAUAGGUUUAUCAUCUUUAUCUUCUAUUCUUUUUAUAUUAGUGUAGACAUCUAAGACCCUAGGCCAUUCCUUCUAGCUGUUUAUUUAAAGCUUUCUUCCUCCCAUCAUUGGGUUCUUGUAUUUGUUCAGUUCUCUCUAUAAGACUCAGGCUAUUAUCUCCAGCACUUGAUGAACUCCUGCCCUCAAAAAUACUGUCCCUCAAGAAUAUGGAGUGGACCUUCAUGUGCUUGGCUUAUUUCUCAGAAUUAGAUUUUUUUUUCUCCUGUAGGAGACUGGGAAUUAUUGGUUCAAAAGCCAAUUUGUAGAGGUGCACAUUUUCACGUUAAAUGUAAUCCAUCUCACACUGUCUCAAAGGAGGUAAAAGAAUGGAGUGCACAUAUAAAAGGCUUACUGUAUGUGGUUGAAUCAAUCUGUGCUAAACCAGCAGUGGCAGACAUUGCAUCACAUCUGCAAUAGUAUACCCAUGAGUGAGACUCCAACUGCCAAGAUUUGGAACUCAAAAUUGAUGCGGUCAGACUGAAUGGAAGAACAGCUGUUGUUUCUUGUGUUAUACAAUUACAAGCAAAUGUUAAUAGCAUGAAGCAACUGUGGAAACUGCGAGAGCUCCAAACACUUUGCUGAUCGCUUGGAAUAAGAGACUGUACAGGGCCAGACUAUGAUAUGGUCAGUCGUACAAGUAGAUUGAAUUGCAAGUCAGAGUUUCCAACAGCAGAUCAGAAAUCAAUAUGGAGCAGUCGUAGCAGAAUUUGAAAGUAGACUUUGUAAAAAUGUUAGAAUAUUAAGAGAGGGGAAAGUACAAAGCCUGAUUUAUCUUGAUCCUCUCUUCAGUGGAUGCAUACCUUGCUAUUAGAUAUCCUAAGGUAUCUAAGGUAUUAAUGUCCUAAGGUAUGCAAAGCUUUUUGCUCCAGAGCGGUGCUUCUUCAGCUCUGUGAUGAUGAUCAUUAUAACUGUUUAUUUAUAUAGUGCCAUCACUGUACAUGGCACUUUACUAGUGAAAGAACAGCAACAAAAAAAUUAAGAUGUAGGAGACCUGCAAUUCCUUGACCCAUGCUUUCCUCCCCAGUGUGCUAGAGAUUAGUCCUGUAUUUGUUCCCACUUUUUAUCUUUUUUAGAAGCUCUCCAGGAACUGACAGGAGAUGACUCAGGGACUGGCACCAGUCAACAUAUCAACAUAUCACCACAUGCUGUUUCAUACCCAGUUCUCCUUGGAAGGGGCUUCAUUGGUCAUGAAGAUGAAAGUUCAGAGCAUGAUAUGCUUCAUGAUUCAGUGCUAUUUCCUCUACUAGAAGCUUUUGGGAGAAGAUUCAGGCUGAGUGUUUAAAAUCUUUUGUUUUAUUUCUUGAAGCUUUUUUUAUUUUUUGCAGGUUGCAUUUUUAAUAGUCAAUAGGGUAAUCAGAAGGUCCUAUGGGAGAGCACUAUCUCCUAGACUCACUGGACUAAUGUUAUGCAUUUUAUGCUUGAAAGUUUGGUGUUCCCCCUAGUGCCCUGUCUCUUUGGGAUUGGAGUGAGGUAUAUGUUUUUCUAAAUUUCCUUCUCUGAUAUUUUUAUUUGGAUUUCUAUGGCAUAUUAUUAUGAGCAAUGCAUUCCUUUUAAUUUUUAAAUAUGGUUCUUGUUAUUUACACAAUGCUAGGGGUUUCCUGAAAAUGAACUUUUUACAUAAUAAAUGACUGAGGAAUUCACGGUUUUUUCCAAAUGUGGUCCAAAAGUGAUACAAAAUGCCAAUGUGUAGGGAAGCGGAAGAGGUGUAUUUUGACUAUGGCAUCCACCCACAGUCUCAAUUUAAUCUGGAUCCUCCUGCUGGCAUUGCUACUGCUAUUUUAGGGACAAGAUGUUUUUAAGAUUACAUUUAUAGUAUACAACAGUUGCUGAGAAUAUCUUCAAAUUGUCUUACUGUCACUCAUUGUAACUUUCUCUCUUUGUUCUUCUUUAGCAUCCCACUUUCCAGUCUGCCAGCUAACUCUCCUAUGAGGAAUUACCAGUGAAAGUGAACAGCUAAAUUUGGGGACAUAAACAGGAGACAUUCUUUACAUUUUUCAUUCCUUAAAUAGAACUCCAGAAUAUAUGAUUUUUUGGGGGUGGGGACAGCCAAAAUGAAAAAAAAAUGCAUGUAAAUUUUCUUCUUUGUUUGCAAUUUACAUUUAUAUCUCAUUUUUCUUCCAAUGUGAUUAAAACAAAAACAAAGCAACAA
Anolis carolinensis (green anole) is the source of this 10656-nucleotide long non-coding RNA. RefSeq lists it as uncharacterized. NCBI's taxonomy places the organism in Eukaryota, Metazoa, Chordata, Lepidosauria, Squamata, Anolidae. The transcript has 3 exons. The record is from RefSeq and is a predicted model, not a curated record.